This 622-nucleotide ribosomal RNA is filed under the name Hysterangium sp. K and G Beaton. Its description in RNAcentral is "eukaryotic LSU rRNA". It matches the Rfam family "Eukaryotic large subunit ribosomal RNA", at positions 43 to 643 of the family's 3401-position model. Lineage: Eukaryota; Fungi; Basidiomycota; Agaricomycetes; Hysterangiales; Hysterangiaceae. The record is from RNAcentral.
UCAAUAAGCGGAGGAAAAGAAACUAACAAGGAUUCCCCUAGUAACGGCGAGUGAAGCGGGAAGAGCUCAAAUUUGUAAUCUGGCAGUCUCUGGCUGUCCGAGUUGUAGUCUGGAGAAGCAUUUUCCGUGCCGGACCAUGUACAAGUCCCUUGGAACAGGGCGUCGUAGAGGGUGAGAAUCCCGUCUUUGACAUGGACUACCGGUGCUCUGUGAUGUGCUCUCGAAGAGUCGAGUUGUUUGGGAAUGCAGCUCAAAAUGGGUGGUAAAUUCCAUCUAAAGCUAAAUAUAGGCAAAAGACCGAUAGUGAACAAGUACCGUGAGGGAAAGAUGAAAAGCACUUUGGAAAGAGAGUUAAACAGUAUGUGAAAUUGUUGAAAGGGAAACAUUUCAAGUCAGUCACGUCUUCCCGAGACUCAGCCAGGUUUCUUACUUGGUGCACUUCUCGGUGUGACGGGCCAGCAUCAAUUUCAACUGUCAGAGAAAGGCUUGGGGAAGGUGGCACCUUUGGGUGUGUUAUAGCCCCUUGCUGUAUGUGAUGGUUGGGAUUGAGGACCGCAGCAUGCCUUCACAGGCCGGGGUUCGCCCACGUAACAUGCUUAGGAUGCUGGCGUAAUGGCUUCAA